This 403-nucleotide ribosomal RNA is filed under the name Verrucomicrobiota bacterium. Its description in RNAcentral is "Verrucomicrobia bacterium partial 16S ribosomal RNA". It matches the Rfam family "Bacterial small subunit ribosomal RNA", at positions 355 to 776 of the family's 1533-position model. The record is from RNAcentral. Lineage: Bacteria; Pseudomonadati; Verrucomicrobiota.
UGGGGAAUAUUGCACAAUGGAGGGAACUCUGAUGCAGCGACGCCGCGGGAACGAAGAAGGCUUUCGAGUCGUAAAGUUCUUUUAUAUGGGAAGAUAAUGACGGUACCAUAAGAAAAAGCCCCGGCUAACUACGUGCCAGCAGCCGCGGUAAUACGUAGGGGGCUAGCGUUGUCCGGAAUCACUGGGCGUAAAGGGUUCGCAGGCGGAAAUGCAAGUCAGGUGUAAAAGGCAGUAGCUUAACUACUGUAAGCAUUUGAAACUGCAUAUCUUGAGAAGAGUAGAGGUAAGUGGAAUUUUUAGUGUAGCAGUGAAAUGCGUAGAUAUUAAAAAGAAUACCGGUGGCGAAGGCGACUUACUGGGCUCAUUCUGACGCUGAGGAACGAAAGCGUGGGUAGCAAACAGG